AAAUUUUUUAUUGUUCAUCAAAAAAAAUUCUGAAUUAUACAUUAAGACUGAAAAUUUUUUUAUCAAUAAACUUUUAAUUGAUGUCUCAAAUGAUAACCAGAAAUCACAACGUUGAAUGAAAUUAUACCCGUUCAUUCAAUUGAAGUAAUAACUAUAUAUAGAACACAAUCAUUUCUAUUUAUAGAGGCCUAGCGGGUGCCAACAGACCACCACAGCAACAAGACAGGCCACAUCGGCCAGGCCUCAGCCUCGCCUACCCCUAUUCUCACCCUUUCUCCCUCACAAACAGUGCCAAAUUCAAUUAAAUAUACAAAUUCUGAUUCACUUUUUUAAAAUCUAAAACUGACCACCCUCAAAGGUUUGCCCAAAUUGCCAAUUUCCAGGCACAACAUUGUUGCUAGUCACAGUCCUGCCGUCACUGGCUGUCAAUUGGAAAGAAAGACUUUGGCCGUUAAGAUAAGAAUUGCUCUGCCAAUUUUGGCCCCAGUUCCUUGACAUUGCUUGCCAUCCAGUCUUUGAACCCUUGAUUGAUACUGAAUGUACAUCUCCUGCUCCUCCGACAUUUGUGAUCAAAACCAGGUUGAAGUAUGAGUGUCCAUUGACGGUAAACCUUAUUCCUCCUUUCUUCGCACACGGGAUCCUGAUUACAAAUCCGGAUAGAAACAUGUCAAAAUCAGAUUCAUACAGGCUUACAAGUGUAGUGACAUCAACUUUAUAAUGUGAUAUGUUGUUACCUUCUGAAGGAAAUUGGGACGAUACCGGCGCGGUAUUGGGCAAUUUGCAAGAAAGCGGGCUCAGCCAUGUCAAAGUGCUGGAGGGGAGGAUUGCACCAACCGCCGUUGUCGUUAGACAGGGCAAGGUUAGGUGGGCAGAAGUUGGUGGCGGUGACAAUGAUGGAGCCGGGGAGGCACCACUUGGGGUCAUUUUCACAUUUCAUUUCAUAGCAUGAACCACAGCUUAGGCCAUUGUUGAAUAGAGCGGUACUGAGUGCUGCAGUGUUAGUCCCGUAGCCUUGGCUGUACAAAUUGCCAUACCCGCAAGCACCACCUACAGUACCAAGUAGAAAACAUCAAUUGACAUCAUGGCAAAUUGACCAAAAAAUUAUGCAACAGAAGAGACAAAUGUUUUAACUUGUUACUUAUACUUACCCAUUGUGCCGGAAGCAUCACCCCCGCCAUAGAAAGUUGCAUGGCCACUUUGCCACCCACCACCAUAGUCUCCAAAUGUGCCACGAAAGCAAAAAUUGAGCACAAACAAAAGGAGAGCAACACUAGAUGAUGCUGCAAUAUUGGUCAUGGCUGCUACUGCUGGCUGCUUAUGUUUAUGUGUUUUUUUGUAAAGAAAAAGAGAGAUGCUUUGAGUGCUUAGUGGCUUAGUGCAGGGGGAAUGGAGCUUGCUUUAUAUAGACAGUGAGAUGCGGACUUUGUGAAGCUACAGCCACCGAAUUAAAUCGCAUUUCGUCAGGCAUUGUUACAGGGAUCAAACUGCACAUGCAAAUGUUCUUGUUAGAGCACCAACCGCUAUCUCAAUUGGCCCCACCCCCACAUGCAUUUAUCAACCGUUUCAGUUAUCUUAUAUUUGUCAUAUUUAAUUUUCUUCCCUUUCUCACUCUUCAAUACUUUCUACAUUUGAUAAUGCAUAAAUUUCUACUUAAACUGCCUGAAAUACCGCAAAUCAGCUCAACUUUUAAGCCCUUUGAUUAAGGAGACUUGAGGUUAAUUUCUUGUUCCUGAGGUCCGUUUUGGUUGGCUGUGGAAAAUGUAUCAUAAAGUAGUUGCUAAUUUUGUCAGCAUUCUUGUUCUUUCGUUGCUCUCUCUAGUCCAAAGUUCAAUGUGCUCAAAUCUUAAUGUUUUUCAUUUCUACAAAAGCGGUGCAAGUUUCAUGUUUAAACCAUCCAUUAGUCCUUUCCUUCCCACAUGUAUACAGGGAUUCAAGUUAAUUUCCAUGUGUAUCACGGAAAUGGUUUUUUUUUUUCAAUUAUUUGGGGGUAGAUCCAAUUUUUUUGGACCCCGAUAUCAAACAAUGUCAUGACAGAGCUAUUUAAGUAAUCGCAAUUUUUACUUAUGAAUGAUAAACUAUCAUUAUAAACUUUAAAUCCUCUUGAUAUAAAGUUGUUUAGAUUGGGUACUGACAAGUUUGUAAUUGUAAAAAUUACAAGACAAAUGCUAAGUUACAUUUAAUAUAACUUACAUCCACUUACAUUCAUUUGUGUGGUGUAAAAAUUAUAAGGCAAAUGCUAAGUUACAUUUAAUGUAACUUACAUCCACUCACAUGAACAAUACAUGGUCCCAAAUUACACACCACGCGUUGUUCAUAUGAGUGGAUGUAAGUUAUAUUAAAUGUAACUUAGGGGCUCUCAAAUUACAAUUGUCAUUAUAAAAUAAGCAUGCUUUGUAUGAAAUAAAUUUUUGCCUAAUUAGUCUAAAGAUGUCACCAAAAGUGACCAGUUUUGAUGCAUGAAUUGAAACGGUAAGAAAGCAUAAGCAGGGAUUAGGAGGCAACCGACUUGCAAGCAAAGAGCAUCUCAAAUUAAAGCCUUACUUUUCUAGUGCAAUGUGCUGCUUGUUUGGUCAGAAAAGUUUUUCUCAAUUUGUUUAAGCUUACUGGGUUUUAAUUAAAAUUUCUCGUACAGGACUAUAUGUUAAUCCCCACAAACCAAUCAUAUUUUAGUAUUACAGAUGAGGCAUCAAAAGAUAUACACAGCAGAAACUCCACGGAAUCCCCUCGAUCGUCGGUUGUUAUAAUAUGCUUUGUAAUAAGGUUUUUAAAUCAUCAAACAUAAGUAACCACUAGCAUAUACACUUAUACAGUAUGGAAUCGGGAUCACACACGUGGUGAAAUCUCAUAGAUCGAUGCAUUUGGAAAUACAAAAAUAAGGGUGUAACUUAUGAUAAUUCGUCGUUGAAAUUAUUUAAACCAAAGUGGGAUUAUUAUAAAAUCUCAAGUCAACAAUGUAUUCAUAUUUUUUGUCUACAAAUUUUGUAUGGACUUACGUGGGGAGAGAUUUGAUGAGGGACCUACCAUGUUAUGAGCACAUGCAAGUCCCGAAUAUCACGGUCAAUUGUAUUCAUACAUCAUUUUCAUAUGAAUUAGGAUGCUUUCAUUUCUAGUUAAUUACAUUUAGAAUAUAAGAUCAAAGAUAAUGAGACACCGACUUGAUUUGACAAAUGAUUUUACAAGGGAACAAUCAAGAUGCUAUUUGGCUUGUAUUUUUAUUUGAUUAAUUGAAAGGGUCCGGCUACGGUGCAACGGUGAUACGGUAUCACCGUUGCAUUCAGCCGUUGCAUCCACUUGGAUGAAUGAAUUCAGUGAGAUCCAAUGGUUGAGUGCAACGAUGAUACCGUACUACCAUUGCACCAUAAUUUUCUCCUAAUUAGAAUUAGUUAACCAAAACUUUAAUUUGUUUCUUCUGUUAGGAAUUAGGAAUAAUAUUUUUUAUGGAAGGUGUCGACUCAGCGUUUAAAGAUAAUCAAUCGGUAAUUCGGUAGCAUUAAAAUAUAUUAAGCCUGAUGCUUAAGUUGUCUAUUGAUCUUGAUGUCUAAGUUUAAUAUUUCCCUCUCUUUUAGACUUUUACCGGCCGUCCAUUGAAAUUAUUAGUAUUAUGUAAUAAAUAUUGUUCUUUCUCACUUAACGGUUGGCAUUUUUCAAAAUGACAGUAGAGCUACUUGUAAAACUUUAAUUGGGCACGCGAUUUGAUAAAAUAAUGUGCUCGUCUUACUUAAUAUUUUCUGCGUAUAUAGUUUUUUUUUUUUUUUUUUUGAAACUGUUCAGCUUAUAUAGUUAACACUACAAUUAAUUAGGGAUGAUAAUGGAUCGGAUCUGACACAGGAUUCACGUGAUCUAAAUACAUUUAGAUCGAAUUUGGGUCGGAUUAAAAUGAAUUUGGAUAUCGAUGUGCGGAUCUAAGGCGGAUUUGGAACAAGUCUGGAUUAUUUUAAGAUCUAAAACUAUAUCCAUAUCCACUCACCAUUUAAUUUAAUUUAAUUUUAAAAAUUUCUUAACAGUUGUGUAAUUAUAAAUAAUAAUAAAAUUUGUUCAUAACAUAUUAGUGGCAUUUAUUUAAGAAUCUUAAAAGUUAAAAGUAUUUAAAUGAUAAUAAGAAAAAAAUUUAUUAAGUGUAAAAUAAAAUUAGGACAUCUAGACCUAAUUUUUUUUUCACUAUACAAUUUAGCCUCUUUCGUUCUCUUUAGUCUAUUCUAGCUUCUUCACUUCAUUCGAAUGCUUGGAUCAGUCCUUUAAUUGCCAGGAAAAUCUCCAGACUUGAGCUUUUUUUUUCCUAUCAUUUUCUCAUAAUCUUAUUUAUGUUGUAUAAUCACCAAUCAGUGGUGACUAUCAACUAUAAAAUAAUUAUGUUAAUGUGAUCAUAUAUUUAGUUAAAUAUGGUCAUAAUAAAAAUAACAAAACACUGAAUAUAAAAAAUCGUAUUUAACUUAUAUGUUAUUAUUUAAUGAUAUAAGAAUGAUGAUGGUGUGUCGUGGAUAUCAUGAUGGUAAAUGAGACAUUAGAAUAUUACAAUGAUCUUAUCAUUACAAUUACUUUUAAUGGAUAUUUUAUUAUCUUUCUUAUUUGUCUGUUUUGGUGCAAAAGUAUGAGCUACAAUACUUAUUAGAUUUUUUAUAUACAUUAUAUAAUUUAAUUGUUACCAAUGCAUUUUAGUCUUUAUUUUUCUUUCUAAAAAAUUAUUGCUCUCUUAUUAUUGAGAUUUAGAAUUCAUAACAGAUUUAGAGCAGCUAAGGAUCUUAAUUUUUUUUUAUGGAUCUAGAUCUGCAAUAAAGUAGAUCCAAUCCAUAUAUGCCCUAUUGUCAUCCCUAUUCAAAUAAUGAUGAUAAAACUAUAUGAUUUGAUUGCUAUUGAUAACUAUCAACCUAUAAAUUAUCAAGAUAAUUGGGUUUUUGGUCUAGUGGCAAAAACUGUUGCCCUCAAAUUUGAGGGCACUGGAGUUUGGACUCAAAUUUUUUUCUUUAAGUUAUAUAAUAAUAGAUAUUUCUCAAAGUAGAUAUAACUCUCUAAUAUUAGUGGGGGAUAAAUAUAUUUUAAGUUGUGCAAUAAAAGAGUUGAUCUAGAUUAAUUCAUAAGUAUCUGAUAAUUAAUAAACGUAUUAUUGUAAUUUAUCAAAACAAAUUCUCGAAGAAGGAAGAGUUUUAUCUAAAGCUGAGCAAUGCCGUAAUAAGGGUUUAAAUAAAUGCGUUGGUCAGAGCAGCAAGCCCCUAUAGCUCAGUGGUAGAGCGCCAGUCUUGUAAACUGGAGGUCUGUAGUUCGAUCCUGCAUGGGGGCAAUUUCAAAGUUUUUCAUUCAAUGCAUGUUUUGGGGUUUUCAUGUGACACCACCAGCAUUAGCACAUUCGGCUUUAUGAAGAAUUUAUUUUCCUUUCCCACAUAAUAAAAAUUUUCAUGGCUUACCGUUUUUUGAUAUCUACGAAUCCAAGUUCUUCAGAGUAGUGGGAUCAAAAUAUGUGAUGCUAGUGCUCUAGACCAAACCCUUUCUUCCCAGGAGAGACAACAUAUACCAAACUAGUAAUAAGAUCCACAAACAAGCAUGUGGACUUUAUCCAAAUGUGUAUUCCGUCAACAACAAAUGAAAGUGCCCUUGACAAGGGUAUUGUCUGUUAGUUUCGACUCGUUGAGACCCCAAAACAUGAAUAUGGACCACACUCGCCCGAUGCAAACUUGUGAAUAGUCAUUUUCUUUUGGUAAUUAAUAAAUUGGUCACAUAUAUCAGCAGCAAGCAAACAGCUGCACUUGAAAUAUCCUACAUUGACAGCAAUUGCAUACCCUACUCUAAACACCUACCAUGUGCAUUUUAAUAGCAGCUUGUUGGGGUAGGCCACCCAUGGCUCUGUACAAGCAGACAACUCAAGUCAGUUAUCUUAAUCUUGGAUGCCAUAGGCUCUGAUCUCAUUAAAGCCUGAGAGAAACAAUGUACUUCCACACGGGAUUAAGAAGAAUCACCUUUCUGCAAUAAUUGGUAUUUUAUGAUUCUCAGGUGCUGUCUCAACUUGAUUUUCAGUUGUGAAAAGUUAAUACGAGACUCAAAAGUUUUUAAUCUCUGGCUCUGAAUCCAUGAUGAUCAGUUGAUCUUGCUGCUGUUACCAAUCAUGAGUAUUAAAAGUUGUUGGCGUAACUGGUGAAAAAAUGCAUGGCAGCCAGAUGCCAUAUAGGUAAACUUUUGAUGGCCCGGAGAGUUUCCAUCGAGAUCAAUACCAACUUUAUGAUAUGCAUGGCAACAACAAAAUCACAAGUUGGUCUAUGGCUUGUUCCAGGAUGGAGAUUGCUUGAAAUUCAAGUCACUACAAGUGGACAUGGUCCAUUGCAAGAUUGUAGGUUAUACAAGCAUUAUUAAUUCUCUGGAGAAACAUCAACAUCACCAACCUCCAACACAAUUUGGAUUGAAACAAUGAUGGAGAGAUAUAAUGAAAUUUUAAUGUUGAUAAUAUCGAAAUCUUUAAGCCUGCAGAGUUGAAUUUUGGGGACAGUGUAGUCGGACUAGACUAAGCUUACUUUUAUUAAAUCUUGGAGAGCCUUAGUUUGUAUUUUUAACAUCAUUCAUAUGAUUCUUUUAAAUAAUGGAGACUCAAAUAGUUUAACCACCCUUCCAGUUGGGUGAUAGAGUCAACAAAUGCCAUUUCUGCAACCUUGCAUCUACUAAAGUCAACUCAUUUUUAACUAUCACCGAUUGAGUAUUGUUUGGUUUGUGGAGGGAGAAGCUGUCAAACAAUGCAGAAAAUUAACAACGAAAAAAAUUUAAAAUUUGGAAAAAUUUAAUUUAUUUCCUGUUAAUAAAAGUUUAAACAAUAACAAACAGACAAUACAAUGGGGGCGCCUAGCAAGAAAAUAUGCACUUUUCUACUCCUUGAAAAGUAACCUUCUAUUCCCUGAUGAGUGCCCCUAAGAAAUGAAUUUGAAUGAAACAAAGAAAUAAGUCAAAGAACUCAAUGAUACCUUGAGACCUGGAAAAGCUACCGAAAAACUAAACUCUCAAUCACGUGAAAGAAUGGAAUUCAAAUACAAAGUACCUUUGUCUGUCAAUAAGGUCAGUCUAUGAACAAUUCAACAAACAUGUUGGGACCAAAAAUCGGCAGCAUUUGCAUCAAAAUGUGCUGCUGCUUUCACUAGCAGAAAUUGAGGGGCCUUCAGACUUCACUAGAUGAGAAUUUCUGCCAUUGAUAUCAAGCCCCUGCAAUCUUCCAAGAGGAUCCUGCUGCAACAUCUCUGAGAAGGCAUGUGAGUUGGCUGUAGCUAGCAUAGGCUGAUGGGGAGUUGACAUGUUAGGCUGAAAUGGAUGGAAUUCUGGCAAUUGUACGAUCUGGGUGUCUCCAGGCCCAGUUUGAGGGUGGUGCGGAUAGAACAAUGAUUGGUUAUAUGGAAUUGGUUGCAUUCCUAAAUUAUAGGUGUCUGUGGGUGUCAUCAUUUCACCGGUUGCAACCUUGAGCCUCUCCACUUCCUUUUUUAGAGCUUCAUUCAAAGCUGUAUUUUGGAGACAUGUCAUGACAAGAUAUAAAAAGCCAAUGGUUUCUCAAGAAAACAUUAAAACAAAAGGGGAAAGUAUCGGGAGAAACAACUUGGGCAAAAAGGAAAAAUAAAGAAAAUUGUCAUUCAGAGAAGCCAUCCCCAUAGAGAGGACCCAGUUAUUAGACCCCGUUACUAAUCUUUAGAUUUUUCAAAAUAAGAUGAUGGGGCCAAGUGAAAUGCCAUAGCAGAAUCAAAGGUACCGAUGAAGAAUGGGCUGGAGUUACAGUUUCCAUUCCUACCCAUGAUUGACCAAAAAUUGGAGAGAAAAUAGAGAAUAGAGACAAGUUCUGUCCCAAGAUAAAUAUAUCUAACACCUUUAGUAAAAGAUCCAAAUUGGGGUAGAGAAACAACACGGGACAUCUAUUUGAUGCAAUGGUAAGCCAGAACUAGAAGUUCAAAGUAUAUUGAGGCCCAAAAGUUAGAUGGCAUAGAGAGUUGUACUUUAUUUCAUUUCUUGACAGAAUAGAAGAUACUAUGUAGCUUGACCAUAUAUAGAUAGCAGGAAAUUCCCCGCCCUGUGGCCGGCACAAAAUACAGCAUCGACGGGUGGCAUAGGGAAGAGGAGGCAAAUAUUUCCCUUUACAUGCCAACUAUGGGAAAGUGACUGAAAUGAAAAUAAUAAAAUCAGGUAUGUAAUAAACGUACCAUCACGUAAUUGAGCUUGUUGUUCCAUAGCCUGUAAACGAAGUUUAAGCUCUGUAUUUUCAGUAGACAGAUCUGUUGUGUCCCUCUAAUAAGAAAACAAGAUUUCAUAAGAACAAACACGGCAAUGACAUGAUAAAGAAAGAUGGCAAGUUUAUUUUUCUUCAAUUUGGAGAAUAAGAUUGAAAAGAUAGCCAAUGAAAUAAUUUUGAAGACCCGUGAAACCUCAGAAAAAUUAAAAACCAGCCACUAAUCUUUACAUUUACAGGAAGCAAAUUAUUGCAAAUUAGAUGUCAGUCUCUAAAAGGAAUAAAACCAGGCUCCGUUAUUAUGCAAUGGAGGCCAAGCACAUGUAUCCUAUAACUAGAAAUAUACAAGUGGAGUACAAGUUGAAAUAAGGACCUGGAAUAGCGUGAGUUGUGCAGAUAGAGUAGUUGCUUCUGUUUGAAGUGUCUGGACCUUCCUCUCAAGUUCAGAUAUAUAACGGGCUUUCCUCUCUUUUGAACGAGCAGCAGAUUGCCGAUUUGCAAGAAUCCUGCUUAGAAAAGCAAUUUGUAAAAGGAAACAUCAAUAAAUAAACAAACAAUCAAAGGGUUAAGUAAAUUAUAAUUCCAUUUCUACUAUAAACCAUCAUAAUUCUGCCAAUCAAAUGAAUUUGAAGUCAAAACAAAAUUCUAUAAGGUUCGACAAAUAUGCCGAACUCCGAUCCCAUAACAAAAGGUAUUUUGGCUAAGAAAACCAACUGAAAAAUUUCUAAUAUAUAAUGAUCCAUCACUUAGAAAACAUUCGAUUUUAAAAGAAAGGAUGAACAUGAGAUAAGAAUUCAAUAUUAUGCUAUUAAUUGAAUAUCAAAUGUAUAGUGACCCAAACUUUAAGUACGAGUGUGCAGCUAGAUCACCACAUUGGAAAAAAGUAAAUUGGCAGUUUUAAGGAGUAUAAAUCUGUCAUUCAGUAGCAUGUAAAGACCGAAAUACUAAAAGGUGUAGUAUCAUUGCACAAGCAGAUGGAAAUUCAACCUAAACCCAAUUUUCGUGUAAUGAAGGACCAUAAACACUAUUGACCUCAGCAACAGAGAAUCAUCAAAGCCUGGAAGAGAAAUCAGACUUGUGUAACUAAUUCGAAUCACUAAUCACUGAAAACUGACACUUAAGAGUAUGUUCACAUACAAACAAAUAAAAAAAAGUAACAAAAGCAAAUAUCUUCCAGCGAAGCAAAAAAUCAUGAACCCCGUCUACCAAAAUGCAAAGCCCAUCAAAUUUCCUCUUUUACCCACUAAAAAAAUUCCAACUUUAUUAUCUAUAACGUUGACCACAUUGACAAAUGCGUUUCAACAAAUCUUAAAGAUAAAUCUGCUCUUUCCACACACUUCAAAUGAAAUAAUCUUUUUUUCUCUUUUGGGGAAAAAAAAAAGCUUUCAACUUUAAUAGAAUUUUGCAAAAGGGUCACCAAUUCUCUCUUUUCCUUAUAAGCUCGAUACACAUUCCACAAAAUAAACGUAAAUGUACCACAUUUUUGGGAAAAAAAAAAAUCCCACCUUUUGGCUCGUUUGGGAUCAACGGUCCAUAACUCAGCUAACUUAUCAGGAUCCAUAGCUUUCUUGGCCUCAAUUGACUCCAAAACCGACGAAGACGACGUCGUCCCAUCAACGGAAUUGCUAUACCGGUGACGCGGCCUCGCGCCAACACUCACAUUUGCAUUCUCGUGUUUGGGGUCGUCUCCGGUGGGUUUGGAUCCGAUUUUAUCCAUGUCCAUGUAGCUGCAGAACAAGUCGUCCUCGGAUCCCCCGGGGCCGUCGAAUAAAGGAUCCGAAAUGGGAUCCGAAACGAGAUCCAUGUCGUCCGGAAUUCGGUACUGCACCUCGGAUUGUGAUCGACGGUGGUACGGCCCGCGGGUCGGGGGGUUCGGGUUCGGAUUCGGGGGAUCUUGGCUUUCCAUUUUGGAGAAUUGAGAGAGAGAGAGAGAGAGAUUCAGAUUUCGGAAUGAACAGAGAGUGUUUUUUCGUUUUUGUUUUUAUCUUCUUCUACGGUCACGUUGAGAGCAAAGCCUUUUUUUUUUUUUCCGCCUUUUAGAUAAAAAAGAAUUAAAAAAAAGGAUACUUUUAGUUGUUGAUGUUGUCAUAAUUAUUAUUACCGGAAUUUUUUUUAUUAAAUUUAGUUAGACAUAAAAAUUUAACCAAUAAUGUUAAGGUGAUUAUAAUUUAUAAGUUUGGGUAUUCAAUUAUAUCUUCACAUUUGAUGAUGAGUUCGAAUUGCCCAUGCGCAUAAUGCAUCAAUGAGCAAGUUUCUUCUUCUUCUUCUUUCUUGAAUGCAUAAUUUGAAAACAAUUUCCAUUUAUUUUACAUUUAGAUAUAUUGAUUGUUGUCACGACAUUUAAUAGAUUUUUUUUAUUAUAAGUAUGGAUAUAUUUAUAUUUUUUAAGAAUUACACACACAUGUAUUUCAUUAAUUUUCAAAAUAAUACUUUAAUAUUGUUAAAGUAAAUGAUCGGAUUUUUCUCGACACGUUGGACUCUUCUGAAUUUAGUAACAUAUUUUGUUUAAUAUUUUUCAUAUGACAUUGUUUGGUAUGAUUUUCUUUUUUGAAUUCUAUUGAAAUUUUGACUGGAUUUAUUUAUUUUUCAUUUGUAAUUUAUAUUACUUUGAUAGAUAAAAUAUAAUAUGAAAAAGUAAUUUAAAAAUUUUUAAUUCAAUUUGUUCAAGACUAAAAAUAGCAAAAUGGAUUUUUUUGAAUUUAUUUAAAAUGAUAUUAAUCAUUUUAUAAUUUAUAUUUUGAUGGGUAAAAAAAAUAAUAAUGAGAAAAAACCAAAGGAAAAUUGGCAUUUACUUGAACUGUAUUCGGGAUUUAUUUACAUAAUCGAAUAUGUACACACAGAGACUUCAGUGAUAAGCCAUUAGUAAUAGCCAAGUUAGUAAGUAACUAAUAUUUCGAAAAUACUAAAGAGGUUUUUUUUAAUUAUUAUUUUUAUUUAACUCACCGGCUCACCCCACGCACAUCAAUGAGUUCGAAUUCAAAAUCUAGGUCUUAGGAAGAUUAAUUCUUAUCAAUGAAACUAAUUACGUUUGUUUUUUUUAUCUGAAAUCUGAAUAGAUAUGAAUUUAGUUGAAGUUUGGAUGGGUUUGAAUGAAAAUGUCUUAAUAACAUGUUUGUUUUUUUCUUUUUCAACAUAUGAAGAGAAAAAUUUUAAAACUAAUAGUUUGAUAUAAAUAUUCUUUUAAGUGGUGCAUAUAUUUAUUCUUCACAAUUUAUAAUUUUCAUAGGUUGAUUAGUUUGGUAGCAUUAAAAAAAAAAUACUAUCAUUGUUGAUCUUAAUUUAAUUUUAUACUAAAAGAUGUAAUUAUAACAUCAACUUUUAUUAUAAAGUCAACACGGAUGUUUUGUUUUUGAUUCAUCAGAAUAGAUAUAAUUUGAUUUGUUCAAUAUUUCAGUUUAAUUAAUGUUAUCAUGUCAAUAAAAAUUUAAAGCAAUUAAAAAAUAACUUUAUAAAUAAUUAAAAAAUUAGGUUUAUACGUAAUAUUAUAAAUACAUGAAUUUUUAAGGGUAUUUUUGAAAUUUAAAAUUAAAAUUUUCCGUUUAAACUUCAAACUUUAAAUAAAAACAGAUUUUUUUAUUCAGAUAAAAUUAUCUGAAAAUAAGUGAUAAGUUAAAAAAAAUCUAAAAUAAAUUAAUGUCUGAAAAAAAAUUAAACACACAAAUAAAUUCCCAUGUGAGAAUGAAUGAGAUGUGUGAACAGGCUGAAGCCGUGAUCAAAAUUCCAAUUAUUGGCUUUCAUGUAAUUAAAAAGUUGAUGUGAAUUUGCGAUUUGAACGAUAGAGAUUGGGAACAUUAUUGGAGAGACUUGCUAGCUAUCACUAAAUUAUGGUUACGGCACUAAUGCCUCAUUCAGCGGCAGUGGGGUAUUGAUGCCGGCACAUUUCACGGCCACCCUACGAUUUGAAAUAAAGUGAUCACAAAUGAACUUGAACAUAAAAUUUUCGUUCUUCUUCUUCACCUAAUAAAGCUGUUGUUUUAAUUUGGGGCUAGCAAAGUCGGUGGUGAGGGCAUGAAAUGGGUUUUGAUGGAUCAUGUAUGGAGCUAGUGCUAGUCAAUAUACGAGAGACAACGGGGGCCAAUUAAUGUAUGUGGGCUAAAAUUGGGAUCAGGCUAUGGUGCAACUGUGGUACCGUGCCACAGUUGCAUCCAGUCGUUGGAUGCACUCAAAUUAGUGGGAUUUAUUAGUAUCCAACGGUUAGAUGCAACUGUGACACGAUACCACAGUUGCACCACAGGUUUUUCCCUAAAAUUGACAAUAUAUGGAGCUUUAGCUUUCCGGGCCUUCAAUCAUUCAUGUGCCCCCAUAGGAUCUGCCCUUCACCGCAUGAUUUCCAUUUUCCAAUUGCCAAGUGCAAAACCCAAUCCUGUCUUCGCACACAAUCCUCAGGAGUCACGAGGAUAAGAUUACGCAGUGGAAAAAUUUAGCAAUUAUUUAGUUUUCACAGUUUCACUUAUCAUUAAUCAAGUUGUGGUGGAUUUGUUCCCUCUCCAAUAGUUGAAGGCAGCUAGUUUGAGUCAUACUCCUAGAUACGAGUGAAUAUGGUUCCUAACUCAUAAUAUAUUAUUACUAUUAUUAUUUCUGUUACAUCUUAAAAUCUUUUGCUAUCGAUUUUUCACAUUACAAAUUAUACAUAAUAUAUCAUAAGUCAAGAAAUUUUUUUUUUGAAAACACAUAAAGUCUUUAUAAAGAUGAGGGAAGGUGGAAAGCAUUUUACCAAAUAGUGUUGUAGUAGUGAUUCUCAAAUAAAGUGAUCAUCCUUGGAUUACAGUAACUCUUAAGUUUAUGAUUACACUAUGAAUUUUGUAGGAAAACAUGGCAACAUUCGCAGCAUUACCAGUGUUUGGAUUAAGAAAAUUGGCAUUGGCUGGAAUGUGACAAAAAAAUUUACUUGCAACUUUUGAUCAAAGGGAAAAAAAGUGAAGGAGUGGGGGAAGGAUUUGUGCUGAGGAAUAAGCAUUUUUUAAUUUUUGAAGCUAAUUGAGAUUAGGUGGGAUCAGGUGCCAUAAUCAAAAUUCUCUAUCAACUUUUUGCCCUUCUACUUGAUUCUAAAACUUUAACCAUCUGUAAGUCAUUGCUUUCAAUUAUAGUGUUGUGAAAAGACUCCAAACAACUCACACAUCUUACUUUCAUUUGGUAUCUAAACCCAUUAUCCAUCUAUACCCCAGUGAUUCUCAGCCCCAUUCAAAGACCGCAAGCUCCCUUUUAUAGACGACCCUGCAUAGUUUACUCACAUCACAAAACAAAUCAACCUUCCUCUUUCUCUCUAUGCAUCACCAAAAUCGGUUUGCUUCUCUCAUCGAUUACUGAAUUGCAAUCAGAAAUAUUUCCCAAUAAUUUCAGAACCUGGUAAGGCUUAUUUCUCCAUUUUUUUGCAUUUGAUACUGUUACCUAAGUGAUAAUGAUGAUGCCUUUUGUGGAGGUCUUUAUCUAGUUGGAAUCACGACAGAUGUUGCCAUAACUCAAAGGCAGGGCAACUACAAGCCCGCACUUUGAUGUCCCCACUCCAUCUCUUCAUUUAUCAAUCACAAGUGAAACUCCGCCUUUAAGUUCCUCAAGCAACAACCAGCUAGCUAUCAGACUUUCACAGAUCGAUCGUAGAAGCUCAAUAUCAAAACGAAAGUGAAGCUAACAAGUAAAGGCUUGGCUCAAUACAUGAGUGUCAUGAAUUUCCUUCUUUCAGUAUCCUUUGUGGUUCGAUUCAUAAUUAAGGGAAAAGCUCGGAACUAUAGAAACGCAAGCCUGUUUGCAUAAGCUCAUCAAAUAGGCUUUAAUUUGCAAAAGGGUACAAAGCUUUUGCACUCUCUGAUCAUUCAGUUCAAGCAAUGGUGACACUCAAUCAUCGUCCACAUCGCCUACUUUUGGAUACAGAACCAAAUACGCCGCCAACCAAUGGAAGCAGAACGCGGAGCACGGUCUCCAAUGAAGCCAAUUUUGACACCAACAUGGUGAUAAUACUAGCAGCCCUGUUGUGCGCAUUGAUUUGUGCCCUAGGAUUAAAUUCAAUAGUGCGUUGUGCUUUGCGUUGUAGCAGAAGGUUUGCUUUUGAGACCCCGAAUGAGACCGCAGCGAGAAUGGCAGCCAGAGGACUUAAGAAGAGUGCAUUGAGACAGAUUCCGGUGGCUGUCUAUGGAGCUGCAGGCGUCAAGAUUAAGGCUACAGACUGUGCAAUUUGCCUUGUAGACUUCAUGGAUGGUGAAAAAGUCAGGGUGUUGCCGAAGUGUAACCAUGGGUUUCAUGUACGGUGCAUAGACACGUGGUUGAUGUCACACUCGUCGUGUCCAACUUGCCGGCGGUCAUUGCUGGAUCAACCAACAAGUUCUGAUGCUGCGGAGAUGGAUUCUGAGAUCCGGCACCCGGGAAAUCCACCAGGAGGAGAGCAAGCUGAUGUUCCUAUAGCUACGGAUGAGGUUGUUUAACGACCCUGCGUGGCCACAAAAUGUUCCUCUAAAUGAAUAAAGAGAGAGUUCGUUUGUGGUGUUUCUGGUGAUUUUUUAUUUGUUCAUGCGAGUGAGGCAUAGAGUGACACAUUUGUUGUAAUUUCACUAAAAGAAAUAUGUGAAAUGAUCCCGAGGCUAUAUACUAUGUAUGUACAUACUUUGGGUUAAAGACAGGACAUGGUUUUAGUUUCAAUUCUGUUUUGACACACCACAUACCCAUAGUAUAUUCACUUGAUGAAAUGAAUGAUUGGUGUUGCUCUCUUACAAUUUUAUAUUUCAGACUUAAAAAGGAAAAAAGAACAAGAAGCAAUUGAUGGUUUAUGCCUUUUUUCUUUUUUUUUUUUGUUUCCAGUUUUUGAGAAUCAAAUUUAUGCUGCAUAGUGAAGAAUAUAGAGGAAAUUUGUUGAAUUGUAUUGACAUAAUGUUCAUUUCUUGAAGUACAAGAAUGAGCUUUAAGGCUUCUACCUUCCAAACUUUUUUUUUGCCCCAUAAAGGAUUGCUAUUAGGCUCAAAAAAAAAAAGAAAAGGAUUUCGAGUAAUUAAAUGGAUCUUUUCAAGUACACUACUACGCAUUUAGAGCAGAAAGAAUUGAAAAGAAUUAAAUUUUAAUAUCAAACUUGCCAUUUUAACUCCCAAUCUUUGCUCCAUUCAAUGUUUGAAUGAAAAGCUUUAGCUGUUAAUUAAAAAGUGGUGGUUGUUUGAUAAGCACUAGUGAAAGUUUUUAGUAUCAUUUUUUGGAGCUUAUAUUUAUCUUUUAGAAACAAAAGAGGCCUUUCAAUUUCACCACUCGUAGCUAGAUGUCUAUCAAGUCAACUCUGGGUAUUGUAAUUUGUAAACAGCCUGUAAUCUUUAACAACUUCAAUCAAAUAGAUGAUUAUAAGUCAUGGUCAUGGAUCCAGCAAAGCAAAUUCUAAACAAGAAAUUAUUCUAGACUCCACUUGGAGCCGCAAGUAUCUUCAUUGUUUCAUUUGGAACAUGGGAACUUCAUUAAUUAUAGUACUAAAGAUAACUGUGAAAUGAAAAGGGCAAAGAGUUUUUUUUUUUCCUUUAAUAUUAUGCUGAUAGAUUGGAAUCUCAAACUCUCUAUUUCUUCUUUUGGUGAGCCUACUUGGUCCCCAGUUUAAUGAAGAAAAUCUCAUGCAGGCACCACAAAUCGAAAUCAAAAUUGUCCAAGUAAUUAGAACCCUGUAGAAUGCAGCACCAAACCCAAAUAUUGGACCAGCCUUUAAUUCCUUGAUGAAGGCUUACAUGAGACUGAAAAACCCUAAUUUUCACUUGCACCAAAUUUUUGUUGCUAAUAUUAUAAGUUUUACAACAAUAUAAAUGGCAUGGGAUAAGUUGAGCAAUAUGAAAUAAAAUUUAUAGGAUUGACCACAUAUUAUAGUCAUUCUUUCAGUUAAAUCACAACAGGUGUUAAGAUUUUAUAAACAGAUACACAAAUGAUAUUAUGCGUCAACUUCACAAAAGACUUCCUCUUAACCUUUUGGAUGAAUAUAUAUCACAAGGAUUUCUCCACAGUUCAAAAGAUUGCAUGAAAGAUUAGAUUUUAUUUUAUUUUUUGGUAGUGAAAUUGAAAUAGUCGAGUUACAAGCUUUUACAAUCCUUUCAACAAUAUUCCCAUUUCCCACUAGCAAAGAACCAAUACAUGGUUAGCGUAUUACUGCUUGGCCACUAAAACUACAUCGUACAAGGGACACACGUACAGCUUUUUUUUGUACAUAAUAAUAAUAAUAAUAAAAUCUGUUUGUAUUUCAUAAUCAUGGAAGGAGCGCAGCCCAGUUGUAGUUAUAGAAAAAGGUCACUACUAUCUUGAGUCUUAUGAUGGGGCCUUCAUCUUGGACAAAGAGGGGGGUAAUGGAAUCAUUUUAAUUGCCUUUAAAGGGCACAAUUUUGCGUUACCAUCCAUUGCAUUUGCAUGUCAUCAUUUGUAGUUUAUAUUAUUUUUAAAGCCCUACCAACAGUAUUCCCUUUUCCUGGUAAGAAGAGACUUUGAAGCUACACAUCUAGUCUUUGACUGAAAGAUAAAAUUCUCUCACAAUAUAGUUUGACAACUAUAUCUAUAAAAUAUAUAUUUAAAAAAUAUAUUAUGUAAUUAUGUCAUAUUUGUCAUUAGUAACGAAUAUUAAAUGAUAAUUAGGUCGCCAAUGACUCGUAGUCCAUUGGCAACUUAUGCGCCCGCGCAUGAAUGCGAGUCCCAACAAUAGCUAAUCCUUGACUCUCAUUCUGAUAAAGAUUUAUUUGACUCCUUACUGUAGGAGUAAAAUAAAUUUUCUUUCAGUAUUAAAUAAGUGUUGUUGUUCGAGCUGUGUCAUACUAAAAUCAUAAAAAAAGAGUCCCAAUUACUAUUUAAUUAUAACAUAUCAAUAUUUCAAAAAAUAAUAAUAAUUAGGUCAUAAAUUAUGUUCUUGUGGUUGUGGGUUUCAUAGGCUUUGAAGGCAGCAGGGCCUUCACUAAAAGUGAGAUGCCAAGCUGGGCCUUAUAUCAAAUUGACAUGUAUGCAUGGAUAAAUUUCACUACACACCCAUUUAAAUCGACAAAUUCUGAGCUCAGAACGUAUGAUUUAUGAACAAACUCGAGAAAUUUUCUUGAAGGACCUUAGCAAAGCAAAUUUUCAUUAAAAUAGAAGCAUGGUUGCGGGGUAAACACGUCAUUCAAAUUCCACAAAUUUACAGCAAUUCCAAAACCCAAGUGAAGAAGCACUUUUAUUAGAAAGCGCAGAGCUGCUUCAUUUUGAUAACUCAGCUGAGAGAGUAUUGGCUAGAGAUGAUGUUGUUGUAGGAGACACUCCCCUUGCUCCACCCAAGUACCAUUUCUUGAUCAUCUCAACCACAUUCGCAUUCUCCACUUUGAUUUUUGAGUCCUCCUUUCCUUCACUUGUAAACACUAUCUGCACCCACGUUCAGAAAUUUAGUCUACAAGCAAAUUAAAUUAAAAAACAUAGUAUAAUUUUUAAAAAUUAUAAUAAUAAUAAUAAUACAUAUAACAUCAUAACUAAACGAAGGUGAUGAGACAAAAAUUAGAAGAAUUCUCUCCUCGUAAUCUGGAACUUACUACUCAAAUUUCAAAAGCAGCUUAGAUCACGAGAGAAUCAAUAACAAGUAGAAUUUUUAGUACCUCAGCAGUAGGGGAUGUUGCCGGAAAAUGAUAAGCAAUCACAGAGUCCUUCUUAAAAUACUUGGAUUGGAAGAAUUCAACGAUUUUCUCAAGGGCAGAUUCUUCCUCUUCUUCAUAUUUGUCAGCUUCGGCCAAUCUGUCCCUCACCGCACUUUCUAACUGAACCCCAUAUUGUGACCCCUUGAUCUCCUUGAUCACAACAAUUCUAAAAAAUUUCUCUACUGGAGCUGCAUGGCAUAUACAGAUAAAAAAACUUUAAAGAAAAAUAAAGUUGAAAAAAAAUAAAAAUCAAAAUGUAUAAUAGUUAAUUACCAGAGACAAGAGCAUCAAAGAAGUCAUCAUCUUGUGCAAGGGAACUUCCCUGUUUGCCCUUCCACUGUUGCAAGUGACUCAAAAUUUCAGGAUCCAAGUAGACUCCAAUUGCCGUGAACUUGAUUUGGAGAAAGUGUAUCUCAAUGUCUGUUAAACCUGUUGCAAGCAGCAGCCCCCCCCAACUCAACAAGUUUCAUAAUUGCCAUUAAACACCUCUAAAAUGACAAAAUUGUUCAUAAUGAAAUGAAAUGGAUUGAUUAUUACCAUGACCCAGAAGGUUCAACGGCUUGGUGGUGGUGAUCUGAGGAGGAAAUGGGAUUUCAUCCACCAUUACAACUUCAGUGCCCACUACAUGUUCCACAAAACCAAAAUUAGGUCACAGUAUAUACGUAUAAAUAUAUAGAUAGCUUCAUUAGCUUGAUUAAAAAAAAAGUUGUUAACAUAAACUUAAAAGAGAGACUCACUGGUAAUCUUUAGUGGGAAACUAUUGGAAAAUGAUGAAGUAUGGAGAAAAAGAAACUGAUAAUUUGAUUAAAUAAAAAUGAAGGGUGAAGCUGAUAUUUAAACAAGUGACUCUGCUCUUUAGUUACUAUUUCUCAAGCUACCAAUCUUUUUCAGUUAUGGCACCGGUGUUUGGUGGGAGGCUGGUAGUAGGUAGCAAAAGUUGAAUAUUUGGUGCUGCGAUAUUAUUAUUUAAUUAAACUUUUUCUUCUUUUUCUUUUAAUUUUAUGAAAAAUCAGCAGAGAUAUUCAAUUUAUACGCUUAUAUAGUAGGGAUCUUGAUUUUUUUUUAUUUAUAAAUAUCAGUUGAUUAUAAUACAAAAUUAGAAGAAUAUAUGUUGAGAUUUUUGUUGUCUUCAAAAUUUGAGUUUAAAAUAGACUAAAGUAAGCGGCGAAAGGUAGAGAGGACUAUAACUAUUUCUCUUGUAUCCUAUAAGAUAAACACUUUUCAUAUUGAUCCUUAACAAUUUUUUUUUUUUUAUAAUCCAUAAUAGAAUAAACAAUAUUCAUAUUAGUGCUUCAACAAAAUUCCUAUAUAUAUAGAACAAUAGUUAAUUUUGUACACAUCAUUUUAGUUUAAUCCGAAUUAAAAUAAGUUCUUAAUUUUGUCACUAACUCAAAUUUACUUCUAAAUAUUUAAAAGAAAAUGUAAUUUUUUUUAAAAAAUAUAUACAUGAGAGGAGAGAAAACUAGAGUGUUACCAUCCAAAGGAUGUGUUGUUUUGAAGGUUUUAGCAGAAUUACAGGGUUUUAAAAUUAAAGUAAGUCCCUCGGCAUUUUUUGUUUUAUUAAUUAUUUAAUUUUUGAGGAGAUUCAGCUAUCCACGUGUUCAGCUGCCUAAACAAAACAAGUAACAGCCACCCAUUCUACCUAACCUACCCUCUCCCCAUUUUAUUUAUUUAUUCAUUAUUAUUUAUUCAUUUUCAUUUAUAAGAUGCCCAUUCCAAUUCACAUUUUACAAACCCAUGUAAAAUGGAGCGGCUCGGUACGAAGUGGAAUUCAUCAUUUAAUUUUAAUACAAGGAGCGGGCCAAAAAAGGCCAAAAAAAAAAAAAAAAAAAAAAAAAAACUGCACAUCGGAUUACUUUGUCGCCAGAUUGCACAAAAUAAAGUCGGAUUUAAUCAGCUUUUUUCUUCGUUACUCUAUUUUAUCACUCUCGUCGCCUAGCGAGAUCUUAUACAGAUAUUAUAAAUUAAAAUUCAAAAUUAAAAUUCGGAAGGAAUUUAUAAUAUUAUAAACUAUUUUUUUUUUUACUGUCUUCUAAUGUUAAUUUUAACUUUGGAUAUGUUAAUUCUACUCAUCUUUUCUGGUCUAGGUCAACCUUAUUAUCUUGUUGUAGCCUAUAUUAAGGGUAAUGUCCUUAAGAUGAGUAUCAGUAAGGCUUACUCUAUGUUGUUGACUCAUGAGGCUACAUUGGAAAGUGUAUGUCUAAUGCUAGUAAGAAAUUAAGAUGAAUUAUGCAGCCUAUAUUGUUCAAGCUGGAAAUAAUAAUAAAAAAAUAGAGUAAAAAUGGUGACUGGAAUAAUAAUAAGGGAAACUGGAAUGGAGAUUUUGGAAACAAAAAUGCAAAUAGUAACUGGAAUGGAAACUUAAAAAAUAUAGGAGAUUAUGGAUCAAGAAGAGGUGGAUUUUUUAAAAGUGGUAAUCCUUCUUGACAUAAUUUAGGAAGAGGUUGGAAUGCUAAUCAAUGCAGGGGUGGUUUCUAUGGAAAUGAUGGUUUCUCUAGUCUUUUUAAUGGCUUUGGCAGAGAAGGUGGCAAAGGAAAUAUUAUAUGCCAAAUUUACUUCAAACAUAAUCAUUCAGUAGUUGAUUAUAGAGAUAUAUUUAAUAGAAACUUUCUUCCAAAUUUCUCAGCUCAUGGUUAUUUUUUAAUGAAUCAAACCCCUAAAGCUGCCUAAAUGGUGAGUUCAUAAGGUGUUGCAGAUCAAUGCUAGUACUUGGAUAGUAGAGCCACACAUCAUCUCAUAAAUAAUGUCCACAAGUUAACUAAAGGUAAACCUUCUCUUAGCUCUUAGUUGUUGCUAGUGGGUAAUGGUCAUGGUCUUGAAAUCACAUAUACUGGUUGCACUUGCUUCUUAACCUCUUUAGGAACCAGUUUAAAUCUCAACAAUGUUUUAUGUGUUCCUAAAAUUACUAAAAACCUUAUUAUUACAUCCAAACUUCUCUUAAAUAAUAAUAUCAUCAUUGAAUUCUCUUCCAAUUUGUGUUUUAUUAAAGACAAGAUGAAAGGAGCUCUGUUGGCACAUGAGAUUGCUGAAGAUGGUCUCGAUAGAUUACUAUCACAAGCUGAAUCUUCUCCUCAAUCUGCAUAUCAAUGUCUCAAUCCUAAUUCUAUGUUGUUUGUCUUUUCUACCAAUAAAGUUGUAAACUCUUUAUAAGAGUCAAAGAACCAGUUGUCAGUUCAUUCAAAUCUUCUUAAUGCUCGUCAUUAUCCUGCAAGUUUUUUGUCUUUAGGAAAUGAGUCAAUCAAAUUGUUGUACAACAGAUUUGGUCAUCCUGAUAAGCAUACUCUGCAAGCUAUAAUAAAAUUUCUUACUUUGCAUUCUGUCAAUAAUAACUCUAUUGAUUUUUGUGAUGCCUAUCAACAUGGCAAGUUACAUCAGUUGUAUUUUCUUGUUAUUGAAAUUAAAACUAAAACUUCGCUUGAGCUUUUGUAUACUGAUCUAUGGGGUCCAGCCUUUGAAUUGUCUAUGGAUGGUUACAAAUAUUAUAUCUCUUUUGUUGAUAACUUUACAAGAUAUUGUUGGAUAUUUCCUUUAACACUUAAAUUUGAGGCCCUUGACACAUUCAAAUACUUUAAAAUUCUUGUGAAAAAAUAGUUUUCUUUAUCUGUUAAAGCAUUACAAUCUAACAUGGAGGGUGAAUUCACAGCCUUUAAAUCAUUUCUUCAAUAAGAGGGUAUUUAUUUUAGACAUAGGUGUCCUUAUACUCAAGACCACAAUAGUGUAGUUGAAAGAAAAUAUAGACACAUUGUUAAAACAUGUUUCACUUUUUUAGCUCAAUCUCACUUGCCCCUUUCAUUUUGGUGGGAAUCUUUUUAUACAGCCAAUUACUUUAUCAAUAGAAUGCCUACACCAACACUUAGAAAUGUCUCACCAUUUCACAAUAUGCAUAAUCAACUACCAGAUUAUCAAUUUCCUAGAGUUUUUGGUUGCUCUUGCUUUCCUUUACUCAAGCCUUAUAAUCAACAUAAACUUGAUUUUUAUAUUCAAAAAUGUGUUUUGGUUAAAGUCAUUUGCAUAAAGGCUAUAAGUAUUUAGACAAACCUGGUAAAGUAUUUAUUGCUAACAUGUCACCUUUAAUGAGUCUAAAUUUCCUUACACAGAAUUGUUUUCAAAUCAAUCUACUUAUGUUAUGUUUAAUCUUGUUGAUUAAACACCUUCUCAAGUUACUUUCCUUCAAAGUUCUAUUCUUGUUGGCAGUAACCAUGAAGGACCAUCAACUACUAUCAGUACUAUUCUUUUCUUCAUCUCAACAUUUUCCUACGUAACUUAUUCUUCCUGGACAUCUAAUGAUUACCAGAGUCAAGGCUGGAUUUUCAAACAUAAAACUUAUCUAGCAUUAUUUCAAGAUCUUGAACCAACUAAUGUCAAAGCUGCACUUCAAUAUUCGAGAUGGUCUUCUGUCAUGAAAAAAGAAAUAGAGGCCUUCCAAAGAAAUAAUACAUGGACAUUAGUUCUUACUACUGCAGCCACUAAAAUUGUUAGUAAUAAAUGGGUUUACAAAAUAAAAUACAAUCUUGAUGGCACUGUAUCUAAAUAUAAGGCUUGUAUGGUGGUAAAGGGUUAUCAUCAAACUCAUGGAAUUGAUUUUUUUGAAACCUUCAGCCUAGUAGUAAAACUUUGUACUAUCAAAGUAGUUUUAAGUUUGGUUGUUAUUAAGGGUGGCAAUAAAACCCACCCGGACCAGAUCCGGCCCAGACUCGGCUAAUCCGGUCCAGGCAUAUAUAAAAAAUGGGUUCGGUUAUUGAAAUUCAAAUCCAGACACUUUCGGGUUUGGUUCUGGUCAUGGCACCAAAAACCCGGAACCUGGAUCCAUGUUCGGGUUUUGAUAAAUUAAAAAAAAAAAGAAAAUAUAAAUAUAAUACACUCAAAAUUGAAACUUACUUUAAUUUUUUAUCCAAUUCUUAUGUAAACACAAGCAGUGCUGCCCGCUGUCACACCUCCAGCUCUCCAACACUCCAAGCUAGCGGCCACCACUCAACAUUCAAAGGAAACACAAGCUGCCAGCUGCAAAAAGCAAACACCCCUAACAAACACUCCAAGCCAGCACUGAUUGCAAAAGCGUCUUAUACAUCCUGCAAAAUCAUCAUCUGAUUGCAAAAAGUAAAAAGUCUUGGCUCUUAAGUGCUUUGACCACCAGUUGACAGGCUUAGCUCUUGACUCUUGAGUGCUUUGAGCAGCAUUUGAUAGGCCUUCUGUGCUGUUAUGUAGCUAUGGUUCUUUGUUUUUUUUUUCCCUUGCUUUUGGCUUUCUCUAUAAUGAGUCAUUUUCAAAUAAAAAAUCUGUAAAUGAUUCCAUUUGUGGCAAAUCAAUUCCAAAACCAGUAGGGUAGUAUUUUAUCUAGGUAGGGAAAGCCCAGAUCAAAAACCCGUGCCCGAGAGGUGCCAGGCUUGACCCGGAUCGGAUGUGAAAAAAUCAGGCUCCAAUCCGGGUCCAGGCAGCUGUUUUAUUGAUCCAGGUUGGUCCCGGGCAAGGCCAAACCCGGACCAGACCGGAGUUUUUGCCAACCCUAGUUGUUAUGCAUCACUGGAAAAUUAGACAGCUCGACAUUAAUAAUGCAUUCCUUAAUGAUGUUCUUACAAAAGAUGUAUUAAUGCAUCAACCAGAGGGCUUUAUAGACUCUACUCAUCCUUUUUAUGUUUGUAGGCUCAACAAAGUCUUAUAUGGCCUUAAACAUGCUCCAAGAGCCUGUUAUGACAAGUUAAAAGGUUCUUUAUUGGACUGGGGUUUUCAUGUAUUCAAAUAUGAUACUUCUAUGUUUUUUUCAGUAUUUUGGGAAUGAUAUUUUACUUGUUCUCAUUUAUAUGGAUGAUAUUCUCAUAAUUGGAUCAAAUUCCAAAGUUGUUGAGCAUGUUAUUCACAACCUCAAUUUAGAGUUUGCACUCAUAAAUUUAGGGGAGUUCAAUUAUUUUCUUGGCCUUGAGGUCACUCCAUUCAUGCAAGGUCUGUAUUAAUCUUACCUAUGAAUACCACUGAUAAACUUCAUCAAGGGAAAAGUGUAGUUUUUUAUAAUCCUUUCUUAUAUCGAAGUAUUGUUGGUUCUCUGAAAUAUGUUCUUAUCACCAGACCUGAUAUAGCUUAUGUUGUGAAUAAGUUUAGUCAAUUUUUAGCUUCGCUUACUGCUCUUCAUUGGCAAGCCUGUAAACGAGUUCUAAGGUAUCUUCAAUGCACAACACAUUUUGGCCUUCAAUUCUUCAACUUAAGCUCCUUAACUUUGACUACUUAUUCUGAUGUUAAUUGGGGCAUCUGAUCCUGAUGAUCGAUGAUCCAUUAGUGGUUAUUUUGUGUUUUUGGGCAACAAUCUUAUUUCUUAGUCUUUCAAGAAGCAGCACAUUGUCUUUUGUUCUUCAGCUGAAUCUGAAUAUAAAACUCUAGCUCUAGUAACUUUAGAGAUCUUUUGGCUUACUUAUCUGUUUCAAGAGCUGAGGAUUUCCUUAGUUCAUAUUCCCACUUUAUACUGUGGUAACAAGAGUGCUGAACCUUGGCUAGUAAUCCAACGUAUCAUUCUCGAACAAAACAUAUUGAGCUGAAUAUUCAUUUUGUUUGAGAACAUAUUGCAUAGAACAACUUCAAAUCACUCAUGUUUCUAGCUCUGAGUAGUAUGUUGACAUUCUCACUAAACCCCUUUCCUUUGAUACCUUUGCUUAUGUUCGAAGCAAGCUUAAUGUACUUUCCAGACCUUAAGCUUGAGACUAUGGGUGUUCACGGAUUGGAUUUUACAGAUUGGACAUCAAUCCAUAUCCGAUCCAUAAUUUUGCGGAUUAUAAUUUUUUAAUCCAAUCCAAUCCACGGAUUGAUUAAACUCAAUCCAAAUCCAAUCCAUACAUUUGUGGAUCGGAUGCAGAUUUGACUCAAUCCAUAUCCAAUCCAUACGUCUGCGGAUCAGAUGCAGAUUUAACUUAAUCCAUAUCCAAUCCACCAUUUUACGCAUUAGUUUCCAAAUUAAAAAUUUUUAGUUCUCCCCAAUCCAUGAACUAAUGAAAUUAAAAAAAAAAUCUAUUAUAAAAAUAUUUUUACUACCAAUUAAAUUUAAAAUUGAAUAAAAUUUAAACAAAUUAAUUAUUUAAAUAAAACUAAAAUAAUAUAUUCAAAGUUUCAAAAUAUAGCACAUCGAGAUUAAUUGUUCAAAUAAAGUUACAAUAAUACGUUUAAAGUUUCAAAAUAUAGCACACUAAGAUUAAUUGUUCAAAUAAAGUUACAAUCAUACAUUAAUAUAACACCGAAAUUAAUUGUUCAAAUAAAGCCACAAUUAAUUGAAAUAACGAAGUUUCUGAAACCAAACACAGUCUGAUCCUUCACCAGGGCUGUUGUACUUGUCGAAAAGUGGUGAUUACAGAGCCGUCAACGAUGAGAACCAGGAGAAGUACGGGUGGCGAUCUUGAAGGUUGUGAUAGUGCAAUUGUUUGGCUGGAACCAGUUAUUGUGAAGUGACUCGAUGGACUCGGGAAAGAAGAUGGCUUGCUCUCGCUGGAAUCGUGUGGCCGACGUCCUUCAAAUCGGUGUCGAGAGUGUAUCGAACCAGUAUUGGGUGUUGCUAGUGCAUGUGACGGCGGGGAAGCUUAGGGUUUUUUGUUUGCAAAUUGUUGGUGACUUGGCGUUAUGUUACUUUACUUUUGGGUGACUUUGCAAAUUGUUGGUAACUUGACGUUAUGUUACUUUGCUUUUGCUAGUGCGUGCGACUUUGCUUUUAUUUUGUUUUACAAUUUUUACAAGUUAUAUUUGUAUAUGUGAUUAUUUAAUUAUUUAAUAUUAUUAUUGGGUAAUGGCUAAGAUAUGUUAUAGUGCUUAUAUAACUAUGUAAUGUCAUAUUUAUAAUAUUCUUUAAUUAAAUUUAUAAUAAUUUUUAACUAAAUAAUUAAAUAAAUAAAUAAAUAUAUAUAUAUUUAUAUAUAUUUUGCGGAUUCACGGAUUUUUACAUCAUGAAGUCAACAGUUUUGGAGCGACAAGAACUCAAUGAACCCUUUUACGUACUGGAUUUAGGUCAUCAUUUCUCUCUGUUAUCAUUGAUCUCCAACCUUCCAAUGGUUCACCCCUACUACGCCGUCAAGUGCUAUCCUCGAAACACUUGAUGCUCUCGGCGCAAACGUUGACUGCGCAAGCCCUUCGGAGAUUGAAUCUGUUUUGGCACUAGGUGUUUCACCCGAUCGAUUGCAUUAUUUAUGCCAACGCGUGUAAGCCAAUUUCUCAUAUUAAGUAUACUGAGAGUGUUGGAGUCAACUUAACAACUUUUGAUUCGAAGGGGAAGCUUGAUAAGAUUCGGACGUGGCAUUCGAAAUGUGAGUUAUCGAUCCGGAUCAAGUCCCCGGUAGAUGGUGGAGCAAGGUAUACGUUGGAUUCCGAAUUCGGUGCUAAUCCUGGGGAACCUGUGCAACUUCUUGAAGCCGCUGAAGCUUCAAGGCUUCCUCUAAUGGGUGUUGCACUCCAUAUAGGAUGCGAAGCCACAAACCUAGCUGCAUUUCGGCUAAAACGGUUUUCGCGGCGGCAGCUGGGCUGAACGACUAAAAUGCGUAUCUUGGAUAUUGGCGGUGGCUUUGCUUGCGACCCACAGUUCCAUGAAGCGGCUUCAAUCAUAAAAGACGCUCUUCAAACUUAUUUCCAAAAAUGAAGCAGAAGCUAGAUACUUGAGUGUCAUUUCAGAGGCAGGCCGGUUCUUCGCAGACUUGGCUUUCACGCUGGCUACUAAAAUUAUAGGGUAGCUCGUUUGAGAUGAACUGAGAGAGUACUGGAUUAGUGAUGGGAAAUACGGAUCUUUUGGGUGGCUAUCAAAUGAGCAAGUGAUUACUAAGUGCAGAACUCAUACUUGUACUUCCGCCUCCAGCAAUAAUCAGACUUCCUACAAGUCGACGGUGUUUCGACCAACGUGUACUGCAGUCGGUAAGGUUUUUGCGGGCCACCCGUUACCGGAACUUGAGGUGAACGAUUGGCUUGUGUUUCCCGAUAAAGGUGCCUAUACACUGUUUGUGGAACCAAUUUCAAUGGAUUUAGCAAUGCUGCCGUUCGAACUUAAAUUGUCCGUUCGAAUCCAAGCUCAUACAGCUUGUGAAUAUGAGAACGAGGUUAUACUAUUGCGUGGGUUUGCAAGUGAAGUGACUCAAGAAAUAAAAAAUAGAUAACUAAAUAAAUAAUGUGCUUCUGCACAAUUACAAGUGAGUAAAAAAGGUACGGAAGUCUUCGUGAUUGUUGUCGGCUUUUCUUAAUUUCUUUAUUUUAAAUAAGGUAUUAGACUAUUACGGUGCGUUUACCUUUUGAAUUGGAUUGAGAAUUUUGAGAAGUGGGAAUCUUAGGAUUGGGAGUGUGGAGUGGGAGUGAGAGUAUGUUGUUUACUUACACUGGAAUAGAAGCAUGGAAUAGAGAUCAGAAUCCAAUUUAUGUGUUUACUUUGUCUUGGAUUGGGAGUAAAUAGUUUCAAAUUAUAAUUUUAUCCUUAUUUAAAGAAUUAUAGUUUUUAAUUACAAAACUAAUAAAAAAUAUAUUUAAUGAAUAAUAUUUAUUUUAUUAUAUUUGUAAAUUUAUUAUAAUUAUUAAUAUUCUUAAUUAUGAACAAUAAAUUAUUCAUUUUAAUAUAAAAUGAAACCUUAUUUUAUUUUAUUUAAUAUAAUUAUAUUAAAUUUAUUAUUAUAUAAAAUAAUAAUAUAAUAUUAUUUAGUACAAAAUUAAUAUUUUCUUAGAAUAAACUAUUUAUUAUUAUUAAUAUUAAAUAAAUAUAGUACUAUUAUUUUUAAAAUAAAUAUAAUAAUAUUAUAUUUAUUAAUUCUCUAUUAAUAUAAUAAUAUUAUUUUAAAAUAAUUUUAACUUAGAAUCAAUGCAAAUUAUUAUUUAGUUAAAUAUAAUAUUAUUAUUCAAAUAAAUAUAAUAAUAUUAUUCAAAUAAAUAUUAUUUUAUUUAUUUUAUUUUAUUAAUUAUAAUAUAUUAAAUUAAAUUAAAAAUAAAAGGGUAAAAAAGGGAAUGGGAUUCCCACUCUCACUCCCCACUCCAAAAAUGGGUGGGGUCCACAGAGUGGGAUUCCCAAUCCCUUCCCAUUUUGAGGAAAUAAACGCUGGAGUGGAAGGAAUCCACAAUCCUCACUCCCACUCCAGCAAGUAAACACAGCCUUAGUAUUAUCUCUUCUCUCCUCUUGAUUUGAUUUGAGUAUUUAUCUGACUAAAUAUAAUUAUAUCUUAAUUUGUGUGUUUACCUGAUUAAAUCAUAUCAUUGAUGGUUAAUAAAUAAAAAUAAAAUAAAGAAAUAAAUAUCAAUAUACAUAAUGAAAAUUUACACACACUUAAAGUGGCAUUGAGUAUUAUAAUCUAUAUUUUGAGCAUUUUAAAAUAAGAAAAAUGUGAAAUUAUAAAAAAUUCAAAAUUUUAACUAAAAGGCAAAUGUUAUUGUCAUAAUUUUGUCGCUUCUUUAUCAUUUUCCUUUAAUAUUUCACUUACUAAAAAACAAAUCAUUAUCUUAGAAAUGACAUCGUUGUCUCUAACACUUUACCCAAACCAUCCACCCAAAUUCGACCAAGCAAAAAUGUUCAUUCUCGUGACCUUUACGAGUCAGGGUGGGCAAAUAACCCUACCUGAUCCAAAAACUUUUGAGUUUGGAUAGGAUACGAAAUAAGAAUCAUACUUGAUCUGGUUGGAUUUUGGCCAAUCAAUCAGAUCGGGUCAAAUCUGAUCUGAUCCAAGUCACAAUACACACACAAAUAUAAAUUUUUUAUCCGAUCCAAUUUGAACAUAACUCAGAUCAGAUCAGAUCGCAUUAUAAGUUCUAAUUGAGUUCAGAUUACUAUUUUUCGAGUAAUCUUCAACCUUGAAACCCCAUCAAUCUGACCUCAACCCUAAUUUACCCACCCUUAUUUUCGACGUUUCCCUCUGGAUUGCUCGAGAAUGCUCCAAUGAAAACUAUUCGAAUGUUACAAUUCUUCAGUUUGUUUCAAUGAAUGUUUCCUUUGUCCCAAAAUAUAAUAAAAUAAAAUAAAAUAAAAGAGAAAGAGAAGAUGUCAUUGAGAAAAAGAAGAGAAAACAAGAGAAAAUGGCAUAUGGGCGAGAGGGAGACUUGUAUCGAGAGAGGAACAUGCUACUAGUUAGAGACAAAUAGUACUGAUAUAUUAAAAAAAUUUAAAAAAUUAAAUAACAAAUAAAUUUACAAAUUCUCAGGUCCGGAUUUUGACAACACACAAAUGUUGGGCCCGAACGUAGCAAAAUGUUAAGAUAAUUCUCGUACGUAAUUUAUUUUUCGUUAACGGAUAAUACUGUAAUUCUCAAUUAAUUAGCCGGGUACAACUCAGCAGGCAAACGGGGCUUUGCACGAGCAUGCAGUGGCUUAGCCAUUAGGAGGUCGCAUUUUGACUCGGAAAGGUCAACCAUCUCCUCAUCCGAUGGCGCGCUCCAAUUAAAACCUUGAAGAAGCCUUGCCAAAAGCAUUACAGACAUCUCGGACCCAAGUGCCAUGCCCAUGCAACCGCGUCUUCCUCUGCUGAAUGAAAGGAAUCUUAAUUCUGUUUCCGCCAACUCUACUUGAUGAUGAUGAUCGUCCACUGAACCAAUAUGACGUUCAGGUAUGAAUUUCAAUGGAUCUUUCCAGACGUUAGGGUUCCGGCCAAGCCCUAUUCGGCUCAGCAGAACGUGACUGCCUUUGGGAAUGAAGUAACCGGCGAUAGUGGCAUCGCGAGUUGAAACAUGAGGCAGGUUAAACGGUGCCACGGGAUGAAGGCGAAGCACUUCCCUUAAACAAGCCUUGAUAUAAUUGAGCUGCGGGACGUCAGAUUCCUGAACAAGUCUUUCUUUUCCAACAACUCUAUCGAUCUCCUCUGUUGCUUUUUGGAGAAUUUCAGGCUGGUUGAUCAUCUCCGCUAUUGCCCAUUCUGCCGCAUUUGAUGGAUUAUCCACUGUUGCAAGUGUCAGAUCCUGCAAGUACGUACAUAUGUUAAUUUAUCGAUCAGUUAAUUUGUCAUUAAAAUUCGAGACCGCGACCUGAUUAUAUAUAACAUGAGCAAUUAAUAAUAUAAAAAUUAAUGUAUUAAAUAAACAAGAUAUCCAACGUACCAUGCAUUGAGAUUUGAUCUCAUCUAUGGAUAACAAUGGAACCCCAUUUUCAUCCUUUGCUGAAAUAAGAACAUCUAGCAAGUCCUGGUCCUUGUGAGCUUCCUUCUUGUUGUCAUGAUGACGUCUCCGUUGGUGUACUCUCUCAUCUAUAAUGGAAUCGUGAUACUUGUUGGCAGUUUUCAUGGCCGCACUUAUAAUUUUUUCAUGGCCUUCUAGAUCGAAGACUCUCAUCCAGGGAACGUAAUCUGAAAGAGUGAAAGAAUAAAGGUGUUGGAGUGCAACGAAGAGUGAUUCAACGUGUUCUUCUUCUUCAAAUCCGGGGCCUCCAUCUUCUUUUCCUUCGCCAAAAUAUCUCCUGUUGAACAUCAUCUUCCUAAUAACGUUCCCGCAAUAAUGGCGGGUUGCAAGUCUUACAUCUACAACUGUUGCGGCAGAAGCACUUUUGCGGCAUUGGUUAUAAAUGAAUCGAACAAGAUUGUCAGCUUCUUCUCUUCUCUUAGAGAUUAAGGAGUUAAGUCGGGCUGAGCUCAACACGUGAGAAGCAACCAUCUUUCUCAUUUUCUUCCAUUGUUGACCCCAUGGUACGACUGCCACUGACAGGAAUCCACGGCUAGAGUACUCUGUCCCCAUUGUGAGCGGCCUCGUUGCAAAAAUUGAGUCGUUAUCUUUUAGAACUUCCAAGGCAAUUUCUGGGGAAGUCACUGGAAUCACAUGAACAUUUCCAAAGCGAAUGCAAGAAAUAUUGGUGUUAAGUUCUUUCAUCACACUGUGUAUCCAUUUGAAGGCCGGCUUAUUCCUCCAAAUCUCUGGAAGGUUUCCGACUAUUGGCCACGCAGCCGGGCCUGGGGGCAGAGGUGGUUGCUUCAUUCUUUUCUGGUCCGUACUCUGCUAGACAAAUUCAUUCAUUUUCAAUCAAAUUAGUUUAUAUGUUGAAUAAAAAUUUACAAUUAUUGUUCCUAAUAAAUAAGUAAGGGAAAUCGAAAAAUAAAUAUAGUAUACCUUGAACAGUUGAUUCUGAACGAAUGAAUACAUGUCCAUCACAUACUUCCGAAUAGUUUCGGAUUUCAGCUGAAAGCUUAUUAGUGUAACAACGGCAACAAGUAGUGUCACCCGAACAAUAUAUGUGGAUUCAAAAAUGGGAUUAUCUUCAAGAUAAGAAAGGAAAUCCAUAAUAUUAAUGAAGGCAAUUUUUGGAUUCAAGAGUAAAGCAGAAAAGCAAUUAAUAUUCUUGAUCGAUAUCGAUUGAAUGGAGAGGAGGCUCUCUCUAUAUAUAACAUUGUGCAGAGAUCGGGAUGAUUGAAAUGAAAUUUCACAGGUUGCUUCCAUUAAUUUUAAAUAAUGGUUACUCAGUUCUCUGCUCAGACUUUUUUAUUUAUUUUUUUAGUUUUAAAAACGUGGCAGUCAGUGUGGACUUGGUCACUUACUGAUGCUUUCACACAAGCUGAAAUAUUAUAACGACUACGAAAUUAAUAAAUUAUUUAAAAUUAGGCCUUCUUUGUACAGUAACAUUUAAGCCACAACUGUUAUAACAAAAAUUAUAAUAUAAAAUAAAAAUUAAUAGUGUAUAAUAAAUUUAAAUUUUAAAUAAUAAUUUUGAGUAAAUUAUAAAAAAUAUUAUAAAUUUUUCAUUGUAUAAGUAUGAAAUUAAAUUAACUUAACUUUCAAGCUAUUAAUUAUACCAAAUAUUUUAAUACUGUACUUAAAAAUUAUAAUGGUCCAAUCUCAGUACUAAACAGGAUCUUAAGCCUCUAGCAAUUUCUAUUGGUCAACAUUCAAUUUUGUAAGUUUGCCAAAAAAAUAUUUUAUUGCUUUCAUAUUGAAAUUCUAAAUGAGGGGAAUAUAUUCCAUGAUUUCCUCCCAAUUUUUUUAAUUAUUUCAAAAAUAGCAGCUACAUCUGUAAAACCAUGGUUAAAUCAAAAUUAGCUGAAAGCAAUUCUUGAUGUGAUUGAAUAAAGUGGAGGCUCUCCAUGUUUACCGAAUUUCAAUUCACUGGAAAAGACUUAUCAAUGAAACUAACCCUUAUUUACUUUUGAAAAAACUAAUGUCGGUAUAGAGAAAAUCGCAUUUACCCAUAUUUUGCUAAAAUUUUAAUUAGUUGCAUUUUAUUAUAUUAAAAAAGAUUUAUAAUGCAAUGAGUUUGCAAAAUAAAUCCAUGAGGCAAUAGGUUGGGUUGAGAUGCAUUAAUUCAAACAAUGUUUCAUAAUUUAAUCAUAUUACUUUACAAAACUGGGGGCGCAAAGAUAGAUUAUCAAUUAACAUUAAAAUUGACUGAGUAAAUUUUAAAUAUUUUUAUCAUACUAACUUUUUAGUAUAUGAUAUCAUGGCAGAUUUUUGAGAAUUCUUAAAUAAAAAGUUUUUGGUACUUUUGGAGUAUUGCUCCUUAACCAUUCAUUAUUUGCCUCAUGUGUGUGCAUAUUAACAUGAUUGUUAAAGCAUACAAGAGGCAAGAAAUGAAUGGAAAAUGAGCAAUAUUUCAAGAGCACUCAAGACUUUUCUCUCAAAUCAAUAGAAAUUAAUCAUUGUGUUGAUGUUUGGUUUUUUAUUUUUUAUUUUUUAACCGUGAUAUUAAACCCGGUCAAUUAAUCUCAGCAAGCACCAAUAAUCACUUUAAUUAUCAUUUUGUCCUUAAAUAAAAUUACUCAAAAGGAUAAAUAGGUAUUAUCAUCUUUGUAUAUGUAUUGAAAUACUUCUUUGCUGCUUCUGGAACAUUGCUUCUCAAGUAUUCACUCUUGCCACAUGUGUAUGCAUAUUAUCAUGGCUGUUAACGUAUACAAGAGGUAAGGAAUGAAUGGAAAAUGAGCAGUAUUAUAAGAACAACUAAGACUUUUUUUCUCAAAUAAAUAGAAAUUAAUCAUUUUGUCGAUGUUGGGUUUUCUUUUUAUUUUUUAUUUUCUUUAAUCGUAAUAUUAAACCCUGUUAAUUAAUCUCAUCAAGCACCGAUAAUCACUUUUACAUUAAUUAUCAUUUUGUCCUUAAAUAAAAUUACUCAAAAUGAUAAAUAGGUUAUAAAAUUAAUCAAGGGUUCCUGGUACCUUUUGGGCUUGUAUCCUAAUAGUACUCAUACCUAUAUUGAGCACAUGAGUUGAAAUUCCAAAAGGCUUUUCCCUUAAAGUAAGGGUGCAUUUCACCCCAUACAUACAUUAAUGGCAGUAGAAUUUCGAAUCUCAACUUCUUCGAGGAGACAAAACUGCAAAAUCCGAUCCAAUUUAUCGUAAUCGAUUAGUUAACAUGUUAGGUUAACUGUAUUCUAAAGUGCUCAUGCUAAUUUGCAUUUUCAGUAACUAACUUAACAAAAGCCUUAGACAAGGAUAGCGACUGAAGAGGAAGUAGUCGUCGUAUAAACUGGAGCUAAUAAUAAACGACGAUAUGGUAUACGGUUGACCCAAUAAUUCUCCAAGGUCAAUGAUAUGACCAAACGGGAAGGGAAGAUCUAGGGUUGUCUGCUAGGUCCAACUUGACUGCCAUUUUCUUGAGCUCUUAAGUAUUCCUGAGAGGGUCCUGUUGCAGCUUGCUGGCUUAAUCGCUCAACAGAAUCUGGCUUAACGACAACAUAAAAUAGAAUUAUUAUGCACACCAUUUACAGGGUGGUUUAUUCUUAUAAAUGAAAUUGUUGGGUGAAAUAUUUCCUUCGAAAAUUAGAUUAAAUGCAUAUAUGUCUGCUAUUGUUCUUAAUUUCAAAAUCAAGAUUGAGCCUUGCCCUCGUUGAUGCUUUUCUCAAUCAGCGACUACUAAAUAUCAAACUGCUAGUAAAAAGCGUAAGUGAUAUGAAUACCUGAGCAAUUUGCUAGAAACGUGAAAAAUGGGGGGAUAUGCAAAUUGUGAACAUUGAAUCUCCCUUUAAUUAAUAUUAUCGUCAUGGAAUAUGUUACCAUCAUUUAAAACUUCUACAUGAUGGAAUUAAUAUAAUUAUCUGAAUUCAACUUUGGCUCAAUGGUGACCAAGACAAAAUUGCCAGUUGAUUAACUUUGAAUAAUGAAUUGAUCUCCACUAGAUACAAUGUAUCAGCUUAAAUGUUCAAUUUUUUUUUUUUUCACUUAAGUUUCCGUUUCUCGAUGCAAUUAGGAUAAAUUAAUAUUUGUAAGUGAUAGGCCUGUUAAUAAUCAAAGUCCACUCCUGGGUGCUUUCCUAUAAUUAAGAAAUUGACCACGUUUACUGCUUUUAAUUAAUUCGAUAUGCAUAAAGAUAUGCCGAACACUAUUUGCUAAUUGUCUUUAUAUUAAAUAAAUAGACAUAUUCCAUAUAAAUAUUUUAGUGCAUAAAAUAACAUUAUAUAUACUUUUUACAAUAUGAUGUCAUCCAUACAUGUGCCACUUAGAGAAGCUGACAUCACAUGCCAGCAAAAACGAGACAAAACUAGAGAUGUUCAAUUUACCAUAAAAUUUUAAAGUCGGUUUUUUUUGGGUUACGAGAAUUUAAUAUUAACAAAAUCUAUCAGAUAGAUUUAAAAUAGUUAUUCAAAAUAAUUUGCUUUGACGCCUGAUUCCCAACGUUCUUUCUCCGCUUAACUUUCUGUCAAGUCUAAUAUUUCAUUAUUACAUGUUAUUUAAUAUUAUAUUUACAUGUAAAAAUAUUUUAUAAUGUAGUGAUUAAAAUUACGGUGGAGUAAUAAACAUAAAUUUGAUAAAUUACAUUUAAGACUAGUAAAUAGAAAAUAAAAUAAAUUAAUUAAUGUAUGAGCGGAAAUUGGUGUUUUAAACUUGUAAAGAAAACAAACACUUUGUAAAAAUAACAUAAAAAUUAUAAAUAAACAUUAAACUUUAAUUAAACAAAAAAUAGUUUAUUCAUUUACUUUAAUUAAAUAAAGAAAAAUAAUAACUCAUAAUUGCAAAUAAACAAAUUAUACUGAAAACAAUUGGCAUAAGUUUCAUUGAAUUGAUUUAACCAUAAAUUCUAUAUUUAUUAUAGGCUAUUUAUAAUUUUUUUUUCAUUUCUAUUGUGUUACUUGUUAACUAAUAGAAGUUAAACAAAAUUCUUUUUCUUGAAGUAGAUCUAGCCAAAACAAAAUAAAAAGAUAUUCAUAUAUUACUGUUGAAAACAAUAAACUUGUUUUACAUAAAUAAUUCAUUUAAGUGGAAUGAGGUAUUGAGGUGUACAUAGCCCUUCAUCAUUAUACUCCAUUAUCAUGGUCCUACCAUGUUAUGUUCAUGAAGCAUCUAAUUAAGUGGAGAUUAGCUUUACACUUUGGAUGCCAUUAAAGGAUUCCUUUAGAGCAUGUUAGGUAAAGUGGUGUCAUGAUGAAAGCUUGAUGGAACAUGUUAGGUGAUGUGUAUUGUUAUGAUUAUGUUUGUAUUUCAUUCACUAUAAAUGCCUAUGCCAUUUGUGUUGUAUACAUCAAGCAUAAGAAGCAAAAUAGCUUGUAAGAGUACUUUGUGAAGAGUGUGUGAAUUGUUCUUGUAAUGUUUUUGAGCUUUCUCUAAUAAAAUUUGUGUUUUAUUCUUCAAAUUCUCCAACAAAGUGGUAUCAGAGCUAGUGUUUGAUGCUAUAUAUAGCCACAUAGCAUAUCAAAUCGAAGUUCUCGACGAGAGUAACGCGACGCCACAAAAAUCAGCUUAAUCGAAGUCCAAACACACCCACACUCGCUGCCGGAAGUUUUCUGUCCUGAAGCUGAGUCAACUCACUGAGUUGAACCAAAUUGAACCGAACCGAACCGACCCAGACCCGAGUUGACCAGAGUUUACUGUUAACCACAGUUGACUGUUGACUGUUGACCGUUGACCGAAAGUUGACCCGAGUUCCUCCCAUAGCUUUUUGACGUUCUGGAUCCAUCCGUGCAUUUAUAAUCUCCAAAUUCUCACUCAAUUUGUGAGUUAUGGCAAAUGAUGAUAUGAUGUCAUUUCAAGUUCCACAAUUAAAGGAAAGUAAGUUCGACAACUAGAGUAUCAAAAUGAAGGCUCUAUUGGGUGCACAUGACCUAUAUGAAGUUGUGGAGAAAGGUUUUACUGUACCAAAAAAUGAAGUUACUUUAAUUGCAGUGCAAAAGGAGAAUUUAAAAGAAUUAAAGAAAAAAGAGAAUAAAACAAAGUAUCUCAUAUUUCAAUCAUUAGAUGAAGAUACUUUUGAAAAGAUUGCUGGUGCACCUUUUUCAAAUGAAGGAUGUGAGAAGUUAGAGACCUCUUACAAAGGAGCAGAGCAAGUUAAGAAGGUUCAUCUCCAAACAUUACGAAGAGAAUUUGAGUCCUUACACAUGAAGGCAUCCGAGUCGAUUUCUGACUAUUUUACUCGGGUUGUGACCAUUUCUAAUGAACUAAAAAGAAAUGGUGAGGAGUUAAAAGAGGUAAGGAUCAUUGAAAAGAUACUUCGAUCAGUAGAUUUGAAGUUUGACCAUAUUGUUGUGACAAUUGAGGAAACAAAAUAUUUGGAGGCAAUGACGAUUGAACAGCUUCAAGGAAUGUUGCAAGGCUAUGAAGAAAAACUGAAAAAUAAGAAAUGAAUUGAAGAACAACUUCUCAAGAUGAAAGUCAAUCCAAAGAAAAUAGAAGAAAACUCCAACAACGGGAGAAUGCAAUAUAUUUGAGGAAGAGGUCGUGGUCAUAGACGAGGUUGGAAUUUCAACAACAACAACUCCAAAUAUGCAAAAGGAGAAAGCUCAACCAGAGGACGAAGCAGAGGUAAUCCAAGAUUGAGGUAUGACAAAUCCCAAGUACAAUGCUAUAAUUGUCAAAAGUUUGGGCAUUAUGCUUUAAAAUGCAGAGCUCUAAGUACCAGAAUUGAUGAGAGAGUAAAUUAUAUUGAAGAGAAGAAUUGUGAAGAUGAUACACUUUUACUAGCAAGUAAUGACACCAGCGGAGGUCAAGAAAAUACAUGGUAUCUUGACAUAGGUGUUAGUAAUUACAUGAGCGGAAAUAGAAGCAUGUUCGUGGAACUAAAUGAAUAUGUGAAUAUCAAUGUUGCUUUUGAAGAUGAUUCAAAAGUACCAGUGAAGGGUAAAAGUAAUAUUUUUUUUGGUGCAAAAAAUAGUAGCCACCAAUUAAUUUCAAAUACUUAUUAUGUGCCCAGUAUGAAAAGCAGCAUCCUCAGUUUAGGUCGACUCUUGGAAAAAAAGACUAUCAUAUUUACUUAAAAGAUUAUAGUCUUUUUCUAAAAGAUGACAAAGGAAAUCUAAUAGCAAAGGUGAAAAUGUCGAAGGAUAUAAUAUUUCUUUUAAAUAUUCAAAAUGAUGUUGCAAAGUGUCUCAAGGCUUUUCACAAAAAUUCAAUAUGGAUUUGGCAUCUUCAAUUUGGAUAUCUUAGCUUUGGUGGACUAGAGUUACUAUCAAAGAAAAACAUGGUGAAAGACUUACCUUCAAUCAAUCAUCCUAAUCAAUUUUGUGAAGGAUGUUUACUUAGCAAGUAGUUUAGAAAAAGCUUUCCAAAUGAGUCAAACUGAAGUGCUCGGAAGCCACUCGAGCUUAUUCAUACUGAUGUGUACGGUUCAUUUAAGCCAAACUCCCUCGGUAAAAGUAACUACUUUUUUUUUCAUUGAUGAUUUUUUAAGAAAAACUUGGGUGUAUUUUUUGAAGCAGGAGUCAGAAGUCUUUGAAGCUUUUAAUAAGUUUAAAGCUGUAGUGAAAAAUGAAAGUGGAUACUAAAUUAAAGCCAUGAGAUCUGAUCGAGGUGGAGAGUUCACUUCCAAAGAAUUCGUAGAAUUUUGUGAAGUAAAUGGAAUUUGACACCUUUUGACAGUUCUAAGAUCCCCCUAACAAAAUGGUGUUGCAGAAAAAAAGAACAAAAUCAUUCUCGACAUGGCAAGAAGCAUGCUCAAGAGUAAGAGGCUACCCAAAGAAUUUUGGGCUAAAGUUGUUGCAUGUACAAUCUACUUAUCCAAUUGAUCUCCAACAAGAAGUGUGUGGGGUAAGGCACCACAAAAAGCAUGGAGUAGAAGAAAGCCCGGCAUCACCCAACUGAGAGUUUUUGAUAGCAUUGCUCAUGUACAUGUACCAGUCGAGAGAAUAGCCAAGCUAGAUGAAAAAAGUAAAAAGUUUAUCUUCAUUGGUUAUGACAACAUUUCCAAAGGAUACAAGCUAUACAAUCCAAACAACAGGAAGAUCGUGAUCAACCAAGAUGUAAUUUUUUAUGAAGAAAGAUAAUGAGAUUUUGGCUCUGAUAUGGAUGACUUCAACUUCUUUCCUAUUGAAGAAGAUGAUCAUACAUAGAUAAAACAAGUAGAAGAACAACAAGAGCCAACAACUCAACUUAUCUCACCAGCAUCAACCACACGUGGAGAUUCACCACUAUCUUUAUUAAAUGAAAGAACCGAGGAACAUAUAAGGAGUCUUCAAGAUCUCUAUGAGGUAACUGAGAGACUUGACAAUCUCACUCUCUUUUGCCUCUUUGCUAAUUGUGAGGCAGUCAACUUCCAAGAGGCUGCACAAGAUGAGAAGUGGAGAAUCACAAUGUAUGAAGAAAUUAAAGCUAUCAUGAAGAAUGACACUUGGGAACUUACUACUCUUCCUAAAUGUCAUAAGGCAAUCGGUGUCAAAUAGGUGUAUAAGACGAAGAGAAAUGCCAAA
RNAcentral lists this long non-coding RNA (38268 nucleotides) under Citrus maxima (pomelo). RNAcentral describes it as "long non-coding RNA (CMAX_LNC002976)". The stretch from base 5204 to 5275 matches the Rfam family "tRNA". Lineage: Eukaryota; Viridiplantae; Streptophyta; Magnoliopsida; Sapindales; Rutaceae. The record is from RNAcentral.